GACGAACGCUGGCGGCGUGCUUAACACAUGCAAGUCGAACGGAAAGGCCCUGCUUUUGUGGGGUGCUCGAGUGGCGAACGGGUGAGUAACACGUGAGUAACCUGCCCUUGACUUUGGGAUAACUUCAGGAAACUGGGGCUAAUACCGGAUAGGAGCUCCUGCUGCAUGGUGGGGGUUGGAAAGUUUCGGCGGUUGGGGAUGGACUCGCGGCUUAUCAGCUUGUUGGUGGGGUAGUGGCUUACCAAGGCUUUGACGGGUAGCCGGCCUGAGAGGGUGACCGGCGACAUUGGGACUGAGGUACGGCCCAGACUCCUACGGGAGGCAGCAGUGGGGAAUAUUGCACAAUGGGCGGAAGCCUGAUGCAGCAACGCCGCGUGCGGGAUGACGGGCUUCGGGUUGUGAACCGCUUUCGCCUGUGACGAAGCGUGAGUGACGGUAAUGGGUAAAGAAGCAACGGCUAACUACGUG
This 468-nucleotide ribosomal RNA is filed under the name uncultured bacterium. RNAcentral's name for it is "partial 16S ribosomal RNA". It matches the Rfam family "Bacterial small subunit ribosomal RNA", at positions 28 to 507 of the family's 1533-position model. The record is from RNAcentral.